This is a non-coding RNA of Microcebus murinus (gray mouse lemur), 838 nucleotides long. Lineage: Eukaryota; Metazoa; Chordata; Mammalia; Primates; Cheirogaleidae. The record is from RefSeq and is a predicted model, not a curated record.
GCGCUUCUCGCCGUCCCCGCUCUCCAUGAAGCAGUUCCUGGACUUCGGAUCGGUGGAUGCUUGUGAAAAGACUUCAUUUAUGUUUCUGCGGCAAGAGUUGCCUGUCAGAUUGGCAAAUAUAAUGAAAGAAAUAAGCCUCCUUCCAGAUAAUCUUCUCAGGACGCCAUCCGUUCAGUUGGUACAAAGCUGGUAUAUCCAGAGUCUUCAGGAGCUUCUUGAUUUUAAGGACAAAAGUGCUGAGGAUGCUAAAGCAGUUUAUGACUUUACAGAUACCGUGAUACGGAUCAGGAACCGACACAAUGAUGUCAUUCCCACAAUGGCCCAGGGUGUGAUUGAAUACAAGGAGAGCUUCGGGGUGGAUCCCGUCACCAGCCAGAAUGUUCAGUACUUUUUGGAUCGAUUCUACAUGAGUCGCAUUUCAAUUAGAAUGUUACUCAAUCAGCACUCUUUAUUAUUUGGUGGAAAAGACAAAGGAAGUCCCUCUCAUCGAAAACACAUUGGAAGCAUAAAUCCAAACUGCAACGUAGUUGAAGUUAUUAAAGAUGGCUAUGAAAAUGCUAGGCGUCUUUGUGAUUUAUAUUAUGUUAACUCUCCUGAACUAGAACUUGGAGAACUAAAUGCAAAAUCACCAGGACAGCCAAUACAAGUGGUUUAUGUACCAUCCCAUCUCUAUCACAUGGUGUUUGAACUUUUCAAGAAUGCAAUGAGAGCAACCAUGGAAUACCAUGCUGACCAAGGUGUUUACCCCCCGAUUCAAGUUCAUGUCACACUGGGUAAUGAGGAUUUGACUGUGAAGAUGAGUGACCGAGGAGGUGGUGUACCUUUGAGGAAAAUUGAC